GCCCGGGUGGCGGAACAGGUAGACGCAGCGGACUUAAAAUCCGCUGGCCAUUGCGGCCGUGCCGGUUCAAAUCCGGCCCUGGGCACCA
This 88-nucleotide transfer RNA is filed under the name Gammaproteobacteria bacterium. RNAcentral's name for it is "tRNA-Leu". It matches the Rfam family "tRNA". Rfam says of the family: Transfer RNA (tRNA) molecules are approximately 80 nucleotides in length. Their secondary structure includes four short double-helical elements and three loops (D, anti-codon, and T loops). The record is from RNAcentral. RNAcentral also lists the same sequence under 1 other name. Lineage: Bacteria; Pseudomonadati; Pseudomonadota; Gammaproteobacteria.